UUACACCUUCGACGGCCGAAAGCCAAUGUUCGACGGCCGAACAUACAGGACUUUCGUCUCUGUCCCUUGCUUUCGGAGGCCGAAGGUUGCACUUUAGGCUGCAAGAUGAAAACACACUUUCGGCGGCCGAAAGUCAAUGUUCGGCGGCCGAACAUGUGAGACUUUCGUCUCUGUCCCUGACUUUCGGAAGCCGAAAGUUGGCUUUAGGGGGCAAAAAAUAUUUCAUUAAAUUCUUUGAAAA
RNAcentral lists this long non-coding RNA (241 nucleotides) under Manihot esculenta (cassava). RNAcentral describes it as "long non-coding RNA (MESC_LNC009514)". Lineage: Eukaryota; Viridiplantae; Streptophyta; Magnoliopsida; Malpighiales; Euphorbiaceae. The record is from RNAcentral.